This 75-nucleotide transfer RNA is filed under the name Paenalicyclobacillus mengziensis. RNAcentral's name for it is "Alicyclobacillus mengziensis tRNA-Asn". It matches the Rfam family "tRNA". Rfam says of the family: Transfer RNA (tRNA) molecules are approximately 80 nucleotides in length. Their secondary structure includes four short double-helical elements and three loops (D, anti-codon, and T loops). The record is from RNAcentral. Lineage: Bacteria; Bacillati; Bacillota; Bacilli; Caryophanales; Alicyclobacillaceae.
UCCUCGAUAGCUCAGUGGUAGAGCAUCCGGCUGUUAACCGGAGGGUCGUAGGUUCGAAUCCUACUCGGGGAGCCA